AGCCGACGCACUAAUGCGAAAGCAUUUGCCAAGAAUGUUUUCAUUAAUCAAGAACGAAAGUCAGAGGUUCGAAGGCGAUCAGAUACCGUCCUAGUUCUGACCGUAAACCAUGCCAACUAGCGUUCCGCGGCGGUAAAUACGACGCGGCGGACAGCUUCUGGGAAACAAAAGUAUUUGGGUUCCGGGGGGAGUAUGGUUGCGAAGCUACUACUUAAAGGAAUUGACGGAAGGGCGCCACCAGGAGUGGAGCCUGCUGCUUAAUUUUACUCAACACGGGAAAACUCACCCGGCACACACACGGGGAGGGUUGACAGGUUAAUAGCUCUUUCUUUAUUCGGUGGGUGGUGCAUCAUGGCCGUUCUUAGUUGGAGGGGUUAUUUUUCUGGAUAAUUCUGAUAACCAACAAUACUCCCGCCUAAUAAAUAAUUACCGGACCUGCUUCGCCGUGUCGACUUCUUACUUCGACAAGCGGCGUUGUGCCUCAUCAAGAUGAACAAUAUCAGGUGUGUGAAGCUGUUAAAUGUUGGGG
This 529-nucleotide ribosomal RNA is filed under the name Contracaecum sp. LV50. RNAcentral's name for it is "bacterial SSU rRNA". It matches the Rfam family "Eukaryotic small subunit ribosomal RNA", at positions 930 to 1486 of the family's 1831-position model. Lineage: Eukaryota; Metazoa; Nematoda; Chromadorea; Rhabditida; Anisakidae. The record is from RNAcentral.